Bos taurus (domestic cattle) is the source of this 604-nucleotide long non-coding RNA. The record is from Ensembl. Lineage: Eukaryota; Metazoa; Chordata; Mammalia; Artiodactyla; Bovidae.
GGGAUCCUGAGAUUUGGCCUCGGCCUUGGAGGAGAGGUCUCCUUGGUCCUUAAACCAACCUGGGUUGGGAGGCGGGCUCGCCAUUGAUCUGAAGGUGUUACCGGCACCAACCAAUAACACGGUGACCUGCAUUUCCUGAGAUAGGCUGCCCCCAGACCGUGCAGAGAGGGGUCUGGUCAUUUCAAAACUUCAGGCUCAAAUUUGAUCCCAAACUUUCUUCUUCCUCCACAAGGAGUCCCAUGGAGCCUGAAUAAUUGACAGUGUGGUCAGCAGCUGACCGCUACUUCCAAGCGUGGUGGAAAUUGACUGGGUCAACAUUUACUGCCCCAGCCCCAGGAGGCCCCGGGGGUCAGAGGGACUGCCUGGCUCUACAGAGUGGAGAGAGGAGCUCACCCCUGGAAGAACUAAGGACCUUCUUCCAAUAAGAACCAUGCAGGGAGGAUGGGAUGGUCCUCCAACCAGAUCCUAAGGCGAAGGAGACCUACGUUGUAGAUGAAGGAAUACUGGUACCAGCAGUCUGGGGGCUACAGUUCAGAGGGUCCUCACCUUCUUGGUGUCCUGGACCCCUCUGGCAUCAAGGGAAUAGUGUGGACCUCUUCUCAGG